RNAcentral lists this ribosomal RNA (468 nucleotides) under uncultured bacterium. Its description in RNAcentral is "partial 16S ribosomal RNA". It matches the Rfam family "Bacterial small subunit ribosomal RNA", at positions 28 to 507 of the family's 1533-position model. The record is from RNAcentral.
GACGAACGCUGGCGGCGUGCUUAACACAUGCAAGUCGAACGGAAAGGCCCUGCUUUUGUUGGGUGCUCGAGUGGCGAACGGGUGAGUAACACGUGAGUAACCUGCCCUUGACUUUGGGAUAACUUCAGGAAACUGGGGCUAAUACCGGAUAGGAGCUCCUGCUGCAUGGUGGGGGUUGGAAAGUUUCGGCGGUUGGGGAUGGACUCGCGGCUUAUCAGCUUGUUGGUGGGGUAGUGGCUUACCAAGGCUUUGACGGGUAGCCGGCCUGAGAGGGUGACCGGCCACAUGGGGACUGAGAUACGGCCCAGACGCCUACGGGAGGCAGCAGUGGGGAAUAUUGCACAAUGGGCGGAAGCCUGAUGCAGCAACGCCGGGUGCGGGAUGACGGCCUUCGGGUUGUAAACCGCUUUCGCCGGUGACGAAGCGUGAGUGACGGUAAUGGGUAAAGAAGCAACGGCUAACUACGUG